Molecule: ribosomal RNA, 469 nt
Filed under: uncultured bacterium
Lineage: Bacteria
Description: partial 16S ribosomal RNA
Rfam family: Bacterial small subunit ribosomal RNA
Source: RNAcentral
AACGAACGCUGGCGGCGUGGAUUAGGCAUGCAAGUCGAACGCGAAUCCCUGGGCAACUGGGGAGGAGCGUGGCGAAAGGGGCAGUAAGGCGCGGGUAACCUACCCUCCUGGCCGGGAUAGCUUCUGGAAACUGUAGGUAAUACCGGGCGACGCAGCGAGAUCGCAUGGUCUUGCUGCCAAAGGUUUGCCGCCGGGGGAGGGGCUCACGUGGUAUUAGCUAGACGGCGGGGUAACGGCCCACCCGGGAAGAGAUGCCUAGCAGGUGUGAGAGCACGGUCAGCGCCACUGGCGCGGAGACGAUGGCCAGACAACUACGGGGGGCGGCAGUGGGGGAUAUUCGGCAAUGGGGGCAAGCCUGACGGAGCGACGCCGCGUGGGCGGUGAAGGCGUUCGGGUUGUAAAGCACUGUCGAGGGGGAGGAAGCCGCAAGGUUGACCUAACCCUGGAGGAAGCACGGGCUAAGUUCGUG